RNAcentral lists this ribosomal RNA (496 nucleotides) under uncultured Stenotrophomonas sp. RNAcentral describes it as "bacterial SSU rRNA". It matches the Rfam family "Bacterial small subunit ribosomal RNA", at positions 505 to 999 of the family's 1533-position model. Lineage: Bacteria; Pseudomonadati; Pseudomonadota; Gammaproteobacteria; Lysobacterales; Lysobacteraceae. The record is from RNAcentral.
GUGCCAGCCGCCGCGGUAAUACGAAGGGUGCAAGCGUUACUCGGAAUUACUGGGCGUAAAGCGUGCGUAGGUGGUCGUUUAAGUCCGUUGUGAAAGCCCUGGGCUCAACCUGGGAACUGCAGUGGAUACUGGGCGACUAGAGUGUGGUAGGGGGUAGCGGAAUUCCUGGUGUAGCAGUGAAAUGUGUAGAGAUCAGGAGGAACAUCCAUGGCGAAGGCAGCUACCUGGACCAACACUGACACUGAGGCACGAAAGCGUGGGGAGCAAACAGGAUUAGAUACCCUGGUAGUCCACGCCCUUAACGAUGCGAACUGGAUGUUGGGUGCAAUUUAGCACGCAGUAUCGAAGCUAACGCGUUAAGUUCGCCGCCUGGGGAGUACGGUCGCAAGACUGAAACUCAAAGGAAUUGACGGGGGCCCGCACAAGCGGUGGAGUAUGUGGUUUAAUUCGAUGCAACGCGAAGAACCUUACCUGGUCUUGACAUGUCGAGAACUUU